AAACUAUGGUGUGGGCAUUGUUUGAGCAUGUUAUUGUAUCUAUCCCAUGCUUCAAAUAAAGAUUCUGAGUUUGCUUGUUUGAAGCUUGCAAUAAGGUUCCUCAUAU
This is a small nucleolar RNA of Zingiber officinale, 106 nucleotides long. NCBI's taxonomy places the organism in Eukaryota, Viridiplantae, Streptophyta, Magnoliopsida, Zingiberales, Zingiberaceae. The record is from RefSeq and is a predicted model, not a curated record.